This is a non-coding RNA of Caretta caretta (loggerhead turtle), 4036 nucleotides long. NCBI's taxonomy places the organism in Eukaryota, Metazoa, Chordata, Testudines, Cheloniidae. The record is from RefSeq and is a predicted model, not a curated record.
UCACCUGUAAAGGGUUAAGAAGCUAAAGGUAACCUCGCUGGCACCUGACCAAAAUGACCAAUGAGGAGACAAGAUACUUUCAAAAGCUGGGAGGAGGGAGAGGAACAAAGGGUCUGGGUCUGUCUGUAUGCUGCUCUUGCCAGAGACAGAACAGGAAUGGAGUCUUAGAACUUUUACUUUGACCAGAAUGUUGCCAACGGCUGAAGUCGCAGGUCUCUCUGCUGGAGUGGAGGAAUGACACUUUCCAAGAGAUCUGAAAUGUAUAUCAGUAACCUCCCUUAUGACCUUCCACUGGGAUCAUACUUGAAAGUGGGAUAUACAGUAUUUACUUUGUAAUGAGAAUUCACAGUAGCUUGAAUUUGGCUUGAACAUUAGCAGAUGUCUGCACUGGAUCAAGUGAUGCAUGGUGCAAGACUGCAAUCUUCAUCUGCUGGUACGUGGGGACAAGAGGCUCCUUAUGCUUUCUACCCUCACUAAUACGGAGGGCAGGAUUUUGCCCUUAAUAUUUAACAGAUGUCGCUCUAAUCUAAAGGUACCUCACUCAGUGCUGGAGCACCUUUUAACGUGCUCACUCACAUGGAACGGCAGGGAGAUGGAACAGAUGCCUUCAGUUCUUGUGCUCCCGGAGCGAGUUUGCGAGUGAACUGUUAUGAGGAAGCUGCUGAUGCCUUGUGGGAAAUCUUUGAAAAACAUUUUAUUUGGAAACAAUUCUGCAUGUACCCCAUAGCAUAUUUUCUCUAUUUCGUUCCUCUUAGUCUGGAAUUCUUAUGAGAGCAGUUGUUGCUUUUUGGAGGUGAAGAUUUCCAUUACUGUCUGAUUUCAGACAGGAUUUCCAUGCCUAAGCUGAAGCAGCAAUUAAUGCAGACUCUGUUUCCACAUCUCCUACAGGCUGGGGGUGUGUGUGGUUUUUUGCUUGUUUUUUUGCAUUGAUGCAGAACGUCUGGCAUGUUGGCUCCGACAGGAGUCAUACUGAAGGGGAUUGGGGAACACACACAAGCAUAAGUGGAGGUUUGUUCCCUUCCCUUCUUAGUUAGGUAUUUUCUGAACAGUUCCCCAUAGCUCUGCUUUGCACAUAUUGACACGGAUGAAAGUGAGGUGGUGCUCUGAAAUGUGACAGUAAAAGUACAUUUUAUUUAUUUAAAUUUAUUCAACACAGAGAAGAGAAGUACUUCACCCCAAGAUACAAGCACCCCUUACAAAUCUUAACAUUUACAAAAAAUCACACUAGACUGCUUGGAGUUCCAUACUCAUUGCAUCUUACUACCUUCACCUCAGAUGUACCCAGUCUGCAAAUAAAAAAGUUUUUAAUAAGUGCCAGCCCUGAACACCCAACUUGGGAUCCAAGACCGCAGCUGGAUUCUUUUUUUCCUUCCACAUCAUUACAAAUGCCAAAGGUAUCGAAUGACAAACUAUAUCUUCAGUUACACAUGUGCAACUCAUUUUAUUAAAUUAUACCCUGUGUUACAGCCACACAACCUUGUUAGCCUUCAGUUCAGUGGCAGAGGAGUAAUUCUGUGUGUUCUGCAGUAUAUUUAUUACUGGCCGCUAUGUAUGAAAAGGCAAGAAACCAGCUUGACUGUCACAACCCAUGUUAAGUCUCCAGGAGUGGUAGUUUGAAUAAAAAAUAGCUUUAUAUUGGUAAAUUAAUUAAAACUGAUAUGGAAUCAGAGAGACACACUAAGUCUGGAACCUUACAGUGCUAUUUUUACAGUCAGUUUUCAGAGACGAACCUCACUUUAAAGCACACAUAGACUGAAGCAAGGGAAUUAGACACCCAUCCAGCAAACACAUACGAGCUUAUCUUUAAGAAUAUGAGCAGUUUUGUUGAGCAAAGAGCAUCGAUGCACAUGUGCAAAGUUAUUCAUGGGUGCAAGAGAUUGCAGAAUUGAGGCCUUCACGGAUAUAGUAGCUACAAGGAUUAUUAUCUUUUUCAUUAAAUUCACAACAAAAUCAUGCUGAUUUUUUAAAUUAUAAAAUCGAGUUCUUGUUGGAUCCAUUUGACGGAAUUCUGCCUUCAGCUACACCAUGGAACCCCAUUGCCUUGGGAUUGCACGUAAGUAACUGAGGGUAGAAUUCUUCUUUCCCUCCCUCCCUCCCAGCCAGUGAUCAGGCCACACUCCCAAUGACUUCAAGAGGAGCAGGAUUUGGCCCUUUGUAUCUGUGAAAUCCAAGAAAGAGCAGCUUUAAGGUGCAUGCAGUAGAGAUUUGAUGAAGCUGAACCCAAAGGUCCCGUAAUCUUACUUAUGUUACAUAAUGCUACAUUAUAUUUAAAGAUGCACUUCUGGGACUGUGUUGCUGAUACCUAUUAUUAUACAAUGGCUCCCAGGGGAGCUAUUGUUGAAAUAAAAUCAUUUUUAUAAAAUAAAUGAAUAAGCAAAUCAAUACAUAAAAUAGGUUAAAACACACUAAGAUAUACAAUUGGCAUGUAAGUUGUAUAGCUUAUCAGUCAAGCAUUUAAGAUUUACCCCCUUCAUGUUCAGAGUUGCUCGGUAACUUAAGUGUUUCUGUGUGUUUAAUAAUGAAUGUUUAAAACCACCAGGGAUCCUAUCUGCAAAGCACUGUACAGGGUUUAUGCACAUAAUUUCAAGCUACUGCUGUGGAAAUUUACCCCCUGAUGGAAUUAGUGGAAUUUUAGUUCUGCAAGAAUAUGCUGUUCUGAUAAACAGAAGUAUAGCUGUGCCAAGUUAAGAAACCUCUUAAUUUGCAGAAAGGAUCCAAAAAUAUCUUUAUAGACUUGCUUAGUCACUGAUUUCAGUUUUUAGUAACAAAAUGCAUGCACUGAAAAUAUUUACAUUAUUCAAACAGUGCUGCCCAAGAAUGGAUUUGGCAAUUUUGGAGCAUUAAUCUGCAACACCCUGCAGCUUUUCCCUUUAAUUUUUUAAGGGAUAUAAUAAUUAUUUUUUAAAGUUGAUAGCCCUCAGUGGCUAUAAACAUUCAUUAUACAUAAGUGCAAUACAUUAGAUGCCUUUCCAGAACACAGAGUUGUAUCUAGACCCAACUGUCUGCGAGUGGCAUUGCAGAUUGGAAACAAGCAACAAGCAAUAACUCACUUCACUGAUACAGAAAAUACAUACUUUAAUCUUGUUAAUUUUUUUUAUAUGAAUUCAAGGAGAGGUUAUAGAAAUAAAGCCAAUAAGGACAAAAAAUGAAGGAAACUGGCAAUAUUACUCCCAGUGACAAAAAUGAUUUUGUUUAACGCAAUAUGAGCUUACAAAUGAGAGUAUGAAGCUUUUAAAUAUUUUGCCAGAUGGCUAUUUCAUGGGGUUUCUAUAACCUAACAGCUAUUCGCCAGUACAAAAGUAUUUGAUGUGAAUGGAUGUGACGAUGUAGGAGUAAAAAAGAAUGGAAAGGGGAUCAGAUUCUCAUCUGCAAAGAGAUACACUUGGUGCAGGUCAGGAGAGUAAGGUAGCCAGUUACAGCUCCCUGAUUCUCAGGCUGCACUGGCUCUGACAGAAAUUAGAGCAACUUAGGGGCUGCUCUAACUUACAAUAGCUGGUCAUGAUCCCUCCAAGACCAACUGAGUAGUGCCAGGGGGGGUGAAGUUUGGCUCUGCCUCCUCCCCACUUCUGUCAUACCAUCACCCCAGUGUGAGAUUGGUGAAGGAGUCAACUCUGCCAGCUUUAUGCUGGAUUAAAACUCAUUUCCAUGAUGGGAUUCUCAACUGGUCAGCUGUGGCCAGACUACCUGCUUUGCACUGCCAAAGGAAUGCGAAGGACACAGAACUUAGGCUGUAAACUCUUUGGGAUGGGGACUGUCUUUUUUUUUUUUUUGUUUGUCUGUGUUUGUGCCUCACCUGGCACAAGGGAGUCUUGAUCCACAAAUGGGGCUCCCUAGGCUAUAUGACAAUGCAAUUAAUAAAUAGGAAUAAUAGAACUGGACCUGAGAAUCUGGCCUAUUAUGUUACAAUACAUAGAUGUUAAAUUAUACAGUCAUAUGAACAAGAAAAUAUACUAUAUCUUCAUGCUGAGAUUUACAGUGUUGCACUAUCAUCAAUGAUAAAAAAAAAAUCUACUAUAGUCAGGAAUGACCAUGAAUG